This is a microRNA precursor of Orchesella cincta, 82 nucleotides long. It matches the Rfam family "mir-46/mir-47/mir-281 microRNA precursor family". Rfam says of the family: The hairpin precursors (represented here) are predicted based on base pairing and cross-species conservation -- their extents are not known. In this case the mature sequences are expressed from the 3' arms of the hairpin precursors. The record is from Rfam. Lineage: Eukaryota; Metazoa; Arthropoda; Collembola; Entomobryomorpha; Orchesellidae.
UAGCUUUACCCUUCAAGAGAGCAAUCCGUCGACAGUUUAGUUUACGUACUGUCAUGGAGACGCUCUCUUUAAGUCGGAAAGC